AUUGAACGCUGGCGGCAGGCCUAACACAUGCAAGUCGAGCGGAGCGGCGGACGGGCGAGUAAUGCCUAGGAAUCUGCCUGGUAGUGGGGGUUAACGUCCGGAAACGGGCGCUAAUAACGCAUACAAUAAGAUGAGCCUAGGUCGGAUUAGCUAGUGGGGGGGGUAAAGGCCUACCACGGCGACGAUCCGUAACUGGUCUGAGAGGAUGAGCAGUCACCCUGGAACUGAGACACUGCCCAGACCCCUCCGCUACGCUGCAGUGGGGAAUAUUAGACAAUUGGCGAAACCCUGACCCAUCCAUGCCGCGUGUCUUAAGAAGGUCUUCCGAUUUUAAAGCACUUUAAGUUUGGAAGCUUUACCAACAGAAUAAGCACCGGCUAACUUCGUGCCAGCAGCCGCGGUAAUUC
RNAcentral lists this ribosomal RNA (407 nucleotides) under uncultured bacterium. Its description in RNAcentral is "partial 16S ribosomal RNA". It matches the Rfam family "Bacterial small subunit ribosomal RNA", at positions 30 to 526 of the family's 1533-position model. The record is from RNAcentral.